CCUACGGGUGGCAGCAGUGGGGAAUAUUGGGCAAUGGGCGCAAGCCUGACCCAGCAACGCCGCGUGAAGGAAGAAGGCUUUCGGGUUGUAAACUUCUUUUGUCAGGGACGAAGCAAGUGACGGUACCUGACGAAUAAGCCACGGCUAACUACGUGCCAGCAGCCGCGGUAAUACGUCGGUGGCAAGCGUUAUCCGGAUUUACUGGGUGUAAAGGACAUGUAGGCGGGACUGAAAGUCAGAGGGGAAAACCACGGGCUCAACCUGUGGCCUGCAUUUGAAACUGUAGUUCUUGAGUACUGGGGAGGCAGACGGAAUUCCUGGUGUAGCGGUGAAAUGCGUAGAUAUUAGGAGGAACACCAGUGGCGAAGGCGGUCUGCUGGACAGAAACUGACGCUGAGGCGCGAAAGCGUGGGGAGCAAACAGGAUUAGAUACCCUUGUGUC
Molecule: ribosomal RNA, 442 nt
Filed under: uncultured bacterium
Lineage: Bacteria
Description: partial 16S ribosomal RNA
Rfam family: Bacterial small subunit ribosomal RNA
Source: RNAcentral